GUUAAAGGAAUUUUAUAUCUUGAUGAUAAUAAUCAAUAAUCAAUUCGCCUUGACUAAUGCCCAAGGUUUGUAAGACAAUGGGUUAUAAUAAUUAGGCAAGGACUCAGCUUUCUGCAAAAGGUAUCUGUAGCUUUAUUUAGAGAACGUUCUGAGGUCAGGAUAACAAAACAGUCAUUAUAUAGUUCUUGCUUACUUACGCACAUGCAUUUACACACAAUCCGUUGGUGACCUGCAUCCCCCAUAAACUUCUCACACUGUUUAUCACUACCCAGAGCUCAGCCUGUUCUUUUCCCUCAAGGUUAGGAACUCUUUGAAGCUUUUACUCCCUUGACCAUCUGUCUCCUGGUGUCCCUCCUAAUUGCAUACACACAUUUCUUUCCCUCUCCAGUGGUUCCUGGACUUUCCGGAACUAAUCAGACUAAUCGAUCCCUAUCUUGAUCAUUACAUUGAUUAUUCAUUAAACCUGCUGUAUGACUAAUAAUUCAUCAUGGUUUAUUGAUUCAUUUACAUUUAUUAGAUAAUUCUCUUAUCAAUUCCACCCUUAAAUGAUUCAAUAAUUCACCAUGAUGAUCAGAUGCUAUAUGAGAACCCUACUAAUCAUAUGCUAUAUGUAAAUACAAUAAUCCUACGCUAUAUGGAAAUACAUAAUUGUGAAAUCACACGCUAUAUGGGAUUUAAUUGUGAUACAAUGAUUAAACAAAACCAAUACAUAAUUAUUCCUCCUAUACCCAUCAAUGACAGUCCUAGGCCUCUUUCCAAUUAUGACACUUCGAUUCAGGAUUUUCAUCAUAAUUUUCAUUAAAGGAACAGUCUAUCAAAACGUUGAAAAUUCAAACAAAACGUUGAAAAUUGUUUCAUCAAACAUUGGCUCCUCGUUAUCGAAAGAAACGGAGCCAUCUUCCUGGCCUGGAGGCCCGCAUUCGCCAUCCCACUGAUCGGAGCUCGGAAUCGGUCCAUAUCUCACCAACUGCUGCGUCAUCGAUCUCUCGAGAGUCCUGGUGAUUAAACCUCUCACACAUGGGACAAGACAACAUCCACACAACACAAACACACUCAUACAGGUGAAAGCAGCCCAUAAUACAGUUCUUACAACACUUUUCCAUUUCCCCAAACAUGGGAUAUGUUAUCAGGAAUGUACGUGUAGCGCUGAACCUAAUCAUUCUACCUACACUGCCCUCUUCUGCCAAUAACAUAUCGAGAGUCAGUCUAUUUUACCAGGUCAUGAGGGGGGUGGCGGAUAAUUGGUCAGAGAACAUCUUUACUGCAUCCCCGUUUUCAUUCAUGAAUCUCUGUUGAUUAUAAAAGAUGUCAUUAAUCCCAUCCACAUUUUUAUCUAUUGUCAACCACCAAAAUAAUGUAGUGUUAAAGCCUUCACAUAUUUGAUUCAUAGCUUUGUAUUCAUCUGGAACUUCCCUGAAGAUGCCAAUAGCAUCUAUCUAGACAAAGCUACUCCCAUCCUGGUCAAAACUACUCCUGUGCCUACUUUAGCCUCCUAUAACUGGCCUCUGAUGACUAACUCGAACUGGUUGGACCAAUAACCCCAGGGCGCAAGUUUCUAACCACCCUUUGUGGUAAUUUCUGUCGUAUGCGUCCUUUACUGGUACUAGCCCACCCUUCAUCAGUUAUAGGUGCUGUGAGGUUAAGAAUGUUCUAUUCAUCUCUCAAACCUAAGUCAGUCACAUUAACGAUUACUUUCAGCCAUUAAAAUCAUCUUAGUUCUCGGUGCCAUUCUUGUAUCUAUAACACUGGUAUUCAUCCGGAAUUUAGGUGAACCGAGGUGGGUUGGCUGAGUACUUCAAUCUGGCCAACCCCAAUUCCUGUACAGUUGUCUGCUUCCCCAGGAAUUUGUUUAAUGUUUACCUUAAAUUCUACAUCUUGAUCUUCUUUGAUUCCUUAUUCUGUAUGUCACUCAUCAGUGUAUUGUAUAGUUUAUCUUCUACUUCUUCUCAAUGACAACGGUAUCCUAUGAUUAGUACCAGAAGGUGGUGGAUCUGAAUGUAUCAGAAAGGUUACCAAAACUAUGAUGCAGCUCAGAGUCUCUACUCUUCCCAAAAACCGCCAACCCUCUCCUGCCCUUAGUCGAUCUGCUAGGUACCACCCCAUACUCACACCUCUAGGAGCACACACAGUGAUGAACGGUCGGGAUAGGAAAUCUUCGUUAAGGAGGUAACCCCCGGACCCUGUUGGUAUCGGUUCUUCUCCUAACUCUGUGUGUGAUCAGCAGGGUUCAUAUGUGUACAUACCUCCUUGCAGUGAGUAACGUGGACCCAAGUGACUCUUUCAGCUUUUCUAAUGGCAAAGGCAGUGGUUUAACAGAACCUGGUAUGGGCCUUCCCAACGGGGCUGCUUCCAGUUUUUUCUCCUCAGGGACUGGAUCCACACCCAGUCUCCUGGUUGGAUUGAGUGAAUCACCUUCUCCUGUAAUUCACCUGUUGGACACAAAAUCUUGGACAUACGGGUUUGGUUAACAAACAGUCUUCUCAUGUGCUCUGCUAGUAUUUCUUCAACUUCCAUGUCUACCUGUUCUGGUAUCUCUAACUCUGGCAUUCUAUAGGCUCUACCUGAUUAGCUAAACUGUCAUCCAUCAUUUAAAGAGAUGGCGCCUAGUAAACCAACUCUAGGGAUAAUAUCUGGACUUAAUAUUUUAGCUACCAUAAUCAUGUCCACCAAGUAAGUUGGGAACGCUUCUACCCAUUUGCUAUACUUAUCUAUUCUUGUUAAACACCCCUUCUUCCCCUCAAUUCGGAAUAGUUCAAUAAGUCCAAUUCCAAAUGUUGGAAUGGAUCUUCUUACAAUUUUUUAUUUUUUAUUUAACCUGUUUAGGAUAGGGGGCAGUAUUGACACGGCUGGAUAAAAAACAUACCCGAUUUAAUCUGGUUACCACUCCUACCCAGUAACUAGAAUAUGCAUAUACUUAUUACAUAUGGAUAGAAAACACCCUAAAUUUUCUAAAACUGUUUGAAUGGUGUCUGUGAGUAUAACAGAACUCAAAUGGCAGGUCAAAACCUGAGAGAUUCCUUUACAGGAAGUGGCCUGUCUGACCAUUUCUUGAACUUCUUUUCCAUCUCUAUCAUUUACUAAGGAUCUCUGCUCUAACGUGACACUUCCCACGUUGUCCAUAGGCGCUCAGAGCCCGGGAAAAAACAGAAUGUCGUCAUUCCAGCCCCAGGCUGAAACACAUUAUCGCCUUUCUCAAGUGGCCGAUCAAGGGACACUGUGCUUAUGCGCGUGACCCCGACCGCCCCCGCCUUUGGGAUUUUUUCCUCUGUUUGCCGAAAAGGAGAUUCCCUGUCGGAAUAUUAUCGCUUUUCUACGAGAAAAAUGUCGUAAAAAUUGAUUUUAAACAGCGGUUGACAUGCUUCGAAGUACGGUAAUGUGGGUGUCUAAAUAGCGAGCCCGUGAUGCCUGGGCUAUGUACUUAGAAUAUUGCAAAAUGUGCUUUCACCAAAAAGCUAUUUUAAAAUCGGACAUAUCGAGUGCAUAGAGGAGGUCUGUAUCUAUAAUUCUUAAAAUAAUUGUUAUGCUUUUUGUGAACGUUUAUCGUGAGUAAUUUAGUAAAAUGUUAGCGAAUUCCCCGGAAGUUUGCGGGGGGUAUGCUAGUUCUGAACGUCACAUGCUAAUGUAAAAAGCUGGUUUUUGAUAUAAAUAUGAACUUGAUUGAACAAAACAUGCAUGUAUUGUAUAACAUAAUGUCCUAGGGUUGUCAUCUGAUGAAGAUCAUCAAAGGUGAGUGCUGCAUUUAGCUGUCUUCUGGGUUUUGGUGACAUUAUAUGCUGGCUUGAAAAAUGGGUGUCUGAUUAUUUCUGGCUUGGUACUCUGCUGACAUAAUCUAAUGUUUUGCUUUCGUUGUAAAGCCUUUUUGAAAUCGGACAGUGUGGUUAGAUUAACGAGAGUCUUGUCUUUAAAUGGCUGUAAAAUAGUCAUAUGUUUGAGAAAUUGAAGUAAUAGGAUUUUUAAGGUUUUGAAAAUCGCGCCACAGGCUGGCAGUGGCUGUUACGUAGGUGGGACGAAUUCGUCCCGCCUAGCCUAGAGAGGUUAAGUAAUUAUCCUCUAGGCCAUCACUCUUUCCUAACUACUCUACUAUACUUCCCUCCCCUUGAUACAUUGCUUAGCCUAUGUAUCAAUAUUGCUGCGUAUCCAUAUAAUGUCUUUGGUAGGAUAAGUAAAUAAUCCUUCUGUCAGACCUUCUCUUAUAGGAUGCCCCCUUUCAUUUUCCACAUGUCCAAUUCUCCCUGGGGCCUUCAUCCUCGGCUAUUCUGUAACAAUUCUCUGUCAAGUGUUUUAUCCUCUUUAAGAUUUAUCUAUGCAGCUUUGUAUGGUUUUAAAUGUUCAUGUGCUUGUCUGUGUAAAUAGUAACUUUUCUCUCCUUUCUUAUUUCACCGGUUCUAGUCAAUGCUACUAUUUCGGCCUACUGUGCAGAAUAGUGUCUGGGCAAUGGUUCAGUGUCUAACACCUGAAACCUACUAAGCCCUUUUAGUUAGGGUAACAAUUACUUUCAACAAAAUGAUACUAAUUUUCUCCUAGCGAAUUUACCAGACAUAAACUUAAAAUCAAAACUAAAAUGCAUGCCUGCCAAUGGAGCCGUUAGUCUCUCCAUGAAUUAAUUUCCUAGAGCUUAGUGAACCAAAUUCUCUUCCUAUCUACUCCUGCUGGCCCCCCUCCUUUCUUCCUGCUACUCCCCAACCCUCAAGGUUUCAGCAGUGCAGGGGAGGAUCUCUCUGUCUGCCCUUCUAUCUGUCUCCAGCUUUUUCUCAUAAUAUGGUUGUUUCCAAAUAUUGACUAAAUGUCUCAUUGUCUCCUUGGUUGCACUCCUGAACUUUUUGAAAAAUCAACCUCUCUAGAUAUUGCAUAUCUACUUAAAUUUAUCUCGAUACCCUCAAUAAUCCUGGAUCACCUACAGAUGUCAUAUAUCCCUGUCCUGUUGACAUAAGUCUAUCAUUAUUAAACUUAUUCACAACAAAAUAUAGUAAUACUAGUAUAUCAAUUCCACAGCCUUGUUGUGUUAAAUCUCUUACACUGAAUUCAACAACAGCUGACUUCCUAAGGGAAAAUAAACGUAUCUAGAUCAUGUAAAAAAAAUACCCCUGCUACUGGUCAAAAUAUUUUCAAAUCACAUAAUCAGAUCAAAAUGACUAAUCUGAUUUACUCCACCAAGAAAAAUUAUUUUACCUUUAUUGUUCUAGGAAAAUAGACUUAAGGAAGCCUACCCUUAGUCUAAGGCUUUGCCCUUUUAGUCCUAUCAUUGGUUCAAAUUAUCAAUUGUGUCUAAGAGCUUUAACUCCAUCAUAAUAUCACCAAUGACCUUAAAUUCACCAUCCAAAUGGCUUUUCAAUGUGGCUGAUCAGACCACACAGGAAAAGUCACCAGAUGUCAAAAGUCAUACCACCCUUUCAGAACCGUGUUUCUUACUACAUUAAACAAAUUAAGGCUUAGAACUUCAUCUACAUUUUGUAUCCCAGGUUCCCAGAACAUUCCCUAUCAAAAGAAUUUCAUGUGUUUAUUAAAACUCAGAAAACAAAACUUCCAAAAUGCCAUGUGUGUAUACCCCUUUAAGAUAUCAUGUCCCUAGGAUUUUUUUAUUUAUUUAUUUUCCCAAAGAGAGCUAAGCGCUUCUUUUUCCAUAAAAUAACCACUUGGUCAGCAUUUCAUCCUACCACCCUGAUUCAAAAACCCCAAAGUUGACUAUAAACAAAACCUAAUAAUACUUAUAAUUCCAUUGUACUCCCUCCAAUCAUUAGUUUUAAACUUCCUCAAUGGUUUAUGUGAUUGAACAUGCCUUUCUGUGGGCGCCUGACCUUUUUCUCUCUGUAUUUGUCUCGACCCCCUCUCUGACAUCUCCUGUCUUUGUUAUUUUUGCAAUCUCGGUGAUUAUGGCCUACUUUAUUGCAGUGUUUACACGGCUCCUCACAUUCUCUAGCAAAAUGUCCUGUCUCGCCACAAUUGUAACAUCUAUUUCCCCCUUUCUCUCCUGCCUUGCUAUUUUUUCCUCUUUUGUCACCUCUACCAUUCCCUGCAAUCUCUCCUAGAGUGGCCAUCAGAUAUUCUGCUCCUUUCCUUUCCUUCUUCUCUUUCUCCCCUUUGCCAAGUUGCUCAUAGUGUACAGCAUAUCUCUUUACUUCCCUCAGAUCUGCUAGCCCCCACCCUACGAGGUUCUGUUUAAUGGCGCGGUUUCGACCUAUUUUAUUGCAGUGUUUACACAGAACCUCACAUUCUCUAGCAAAAUGACCCGGUUUGUUACAGUUAAAGCAUCCAUCUCCCCCUUUCUUUUGUCUAUUCCUAUCCGGACUUUGGUUAUGGUAAACGAGUCUACUGAGGGCUCUGGGUUGUGCAGCACCACCAACACGCUCUCUACCCCUAGUUAUCAUCUUUCUCUCUCCCUCCGUUUCUAUCCACUUUUUCAAUAAAGUGGCUAAAUCCUGUCCAGCUACCUGUGUCUCUUCCUCUCUACCUCCCUCGGCUCCCUGAGGACCAGCAUAUGGGGGAGGGGGUAUAGGUACGGGCGGCACUGGAUGUGGUAGCCUCCGUAUCACUACCACCACCUCGUCAUCUGGGUUCUCCCGCCAUCCCUGGUCAACCAGGGAGGGGUAUAAUUCGGGUUCAGAUGGUGUCUCUGUGGGAGCCGUGGGAGUCCUCUCUGUCUGCUCCUGGCUACCCAAACAUUCAUUUUUAGUAACUCCCUUACUUUUGGCCCCCUCCGCUCUCUUUCUAGCUUCUGCCAGCCAAACCCGAGCAGUGUCAAGGCCCUCUGUGCGCUGCUUCUCUGUCUUACCCCCACUGACCUUAUGUAUUUGUUUUACCAUUAAUUGCAAUCUUUCAACAUUCAGACAUCCAUCAAAAUUGUAUUUCUUUCUCCAUUUCGGCCCAAAAUAAAUGUUCCUCUUAUCUUUUCCCAGCAUAAAACGUUCAUCUCCCGUCAAUACCGGGAUUUCCUUAGAGGAUUUACUACCCAUGUUGUUUUUUUAAAUUGUUUUAAAGUACACUCGUAUUUAUUCUGCUUCUUCUCCCAACCAAGAGUUUUAGAAAUAUUAUUCGUAAGAACCAUAAACUAUCUUUUAUUCAUAUGUGCUUUAAUUUAUACAACUUCAAACCAAAUACAAUUAGUGUCUACUCGUUGUUAAUCUUAAUGUGUAUGCUAUUUUACCGUUAUUAACCUAGAAUUUGGGGAAUAAUCAUUCGCAUGCUAUUUUACAAAUUGCUUCUAUCUCAUCGCUCAAAAAGGACAAACGGCUUUUAUCUUGCGCCUGUUGAGUCUAGCAAUAUGUUUUCGUUAUGAUUUUAACAAUGUGUUUUCGUUAUUAAACCUAUAAUUUGGGGAAUAAUUAUUCGUACGCUAUAUUACAAAUUGCUUGUAUCUCAUCGCUCAAAAAGGACAAACGGCUUUUAUCUUGCACCUGUUGAUUCUAGCAAUAUGUUUUCGUUAUUAACCUUCUAUUCGCAAUAUAGAGUUGUUCUGCUAGAAUGAUUAUACGUAUCUAUCCUAACCCGGUCUUUAUCUCGCUCAUAGACAAACACUGCAACCCGUUUUAUUUUUAGGUUUGUACUGUCUGUCUUUUUCUCGCGAUUUAUUGACAGAAUCCGCCUCACACGCAAUCCCUCAUCCCAGCAUAGUUACUCUAUCUCUCUCGAAACUUUAUCUACAGCGGGGACUGUCGAUCAGACAUUAGGUCGCAUACGUAUGCAACUAUAAACUACUUUCCAGGGGUCGUAAAGCCCUAGUUAACAGCCUAUUUAUCUGUUGCUUCAUGUAACUGUUGACACCAAUAUCUGUUUCUCACUCCGCCAUAUUAGGUCUCACUUCACCCAUAGAUAUCAGACCCAAAGCCGUAUUUAGGUACCGACUAUCCCCUUAUGGUUUUUUGACCCUUGUGCUACGUUAUCAGGUCUCACCACAAGCCCUAGUUUAGUUUUAUGCAGUGGCCACAGUUGCCCAGGGUCGAUUUCGGACCCUGCGUCGUUUUCGAAUUCGUCGUUUUGAAUUUACAACUAAUUCCUAACUUCCAUCCGCGCAGAAUACUUGAUUCCCUUUAAAACCGAUUUUUCUCCACGUGAACUUCUGAAGCCAGGUCACCCGCUAUAACAUUCAUCAAUCUCAGCGUCUCACACCCAGAGUACCUUUCACUCACAACAAUCGCUUUUGCCUUACACUCUCAACAAUCGCUUUUGCCUUACAUUCACAACACUCGCUUUUGCCUUUCAUUCACAACAAUCGCUUUCGCCUUACACUCUCAACAAUCGCUUUCUCAUCAAAUGCCAACACCCAAUUGUGUCCCUUAUUCCAUCAUGCAAUGCAGCCAUACAGGUGUAUUUCAUACAAUGCAGACACACAGGUGUAUCACCAACACCCAAAUGUGUCCCUUAUUCCAUCAUGCAAUGCAGACAUACAGGUGUAUUUCUCAUUUCAUCAAGUAAUGCAGACCUACAAUCGCUUCCUCACCAUGCAAUGCAAACCUAUAGGUAUAUCACUCAUUUCAUCAAGUAAUGCAGACCUACAGGUAUUUCACUCAUUUCACCAUGCAAUCCAAACCUAUAGGUAUAUCACAAAUUUCCCUAUGCAAUACAAACCUAUAGGUAUGUCACUCACCCCUUAUUUAAUGUAAUCAUACAGGUGCUAUUCCCCAAAAGUAUGAAUAAAGCUUACUAACCUUAUAAUUUGCAGCUGAGGUUUUCAAUGUUCGUUGAAUCUCGUCACCACCUCUGUCGCGUACCAAUUUGCCACCGGCCUGUAAAGAACCCACAGAAAAGGGCCAGGUCUUUGAUUUACGGAUAUUUCAUCCGCCCGUGCACGGUUUCGGUGUCUCCUUGGGACGACAGCGGCAGUUUGAAAUCCGGCUCGAAUAGGACCAAUUGUUAAAGGAAUUUUAUAUCUUGAUGAUAAUAAUCAAUAAUCAAUUCGCCUUGACUAAUGCCCAAGGUUUGUAAGACAAUGGGUUAUAAUAAUUAGGCAAGGACUCAGCUUUCUGCAAAAGGUUUCUGUAGCUUUAUUCAUGAGAACGUUCUGAGGUCAGGAUAACAAAACAGUCAUUAUAUAGUUCUUGCUUACUUACGCACAUGCAUUUACACACAAUCCGUUGGUGACCUGCAUCCCCCAUAAACUUCUCACACUGUUUAUCACUACCCAGAGCUCAGCCUGUUCUUUUCCCUCAAGGUUAGGAACUCUUUGAAGCUUUUACUCCCUUGACCAUCUGUCUCCUGGUGUCCCUCCUAAUUGCAUACAUACAUUUCUUUCCCUCUCCAGUGGUUCCUGGACUUUCCGGAACUAAUCAGACUAAUCGAUCCCUAUCUUGAUCAUUACAUUGAUUAUUCAUUAAACCUGCUGUAUGACUAAUAAUUCAUCAUGGUUUAUUGAUUAAUUUACAUUUAUUAGAUAAUUCUCUUAUCAGCAGGGCAGUACGUAUUUCCUCUCUUACAUCUGCAAGCAGAGUCUGAACAUCAGACAGGAUGGCAUUGUCUCCCUCAAUCCGUGCAAUGGCUACUGCUAUAGGUUUCAGGAGUUUCAGGCUGCUUACCACUCUCUCCCAAAAUACAUCAUCCAGGAGGAUCCUCUUGAUGGGGCUGUCCAUAUCGGCAGACUGUGAGAUGGCCAUUUCUUGGAGAGACUCCUUCCCCUCCAGGAGACUGUCAAACAUGAUGGCAACACCACCCCAACGGGUGUUGCUGGGCAGCUUCAAUGUGGUGCUCUUAUUCU
This 9685-nucleotide long non-coding RNA is filed under the name Salmo salar (Atlantic salmon). RNAcentral describes it as "lncRNA (ENSSSAG00000103851.1)". The record is from RNAcentral. Lineage: Eukaryota; Metazoa; Chordata; Actinopteri; Salmoniformes; Salmonidae.